UGAUGCAGCCAUGCCGCGUGUGUGAAGAAGGACCUUCGGGUUGUAAAGCACUUUCAGUAGGGAGGAAGGUAGUGUAGUUAACACCUGCAUUAUUUGACGUUACCUACAGAAGAAGCACCGGCUAACUCCGUGCCAGCAGCCGCGGUAAUACGGAGGGGUGCGAGCGUUAAUCGGAAUUACUGGGCGUAAAGCGCAUGCAGGCGGCCUGUUAAGUCAGAUGUGAAAGCCCGGGGCUUAACCUCGGAAUUGCAUUUGAAACUGGCAGGCUAGAGUCUUGUAGAGGGGGGUAGGAAUUUCAGGUGUAGCGGUGAAAUGCGUAGAGAUCUGAAGGAAUAACCAGUGGCGAAGGCGGCCCCCUGGACAAAGACUGACGCUCAGAUGCGAAAGCGUGGGGAGCAAACAGGAUUAGAUACCCUGGUAG
RNAcentral lists this ribosomal RNA (421 nucleotides) under uncultured bacterium. RNAcentral describes it as "bacterial SSU rRNA". It matches the Rfam family "Bacterial small subunit ribosomal RNA", at positions 384 to 793 of the family's 1533-position model. The record is from RNAcentral.